UACAGAGGUGGCAAGCGUUGUUCGGAAUUACUGGGCGUAAAGGGCGCGUAGGCGGCCUUCUAAGUCAGACGUGAAAUCCCCCGGCUUAACCUGGGAACUGCGUCUGAUACUGGGAGGCUUGAGUAUGGGAGAGGGAUGUAGAAUUCCAGGUGUAGCGGUGAAAUGCGUAGAUAUCGUAAGGAAGACCAGUGGCGAAGGCGGGUCUCUGGACAGUUCCUGACGCUGAGGCACGAAGGCCAGGGGAGCAAACGGG
This 253-nucleotide ribosomal RNA is filed under the name uncultured bacterium. Its description in RNAcentral is "partial 16S ribosomal RNA". It matches the Rfam family "Bacterial small subunit ribosomal RNA", at positions 524 to 776 of the family's 1533-position model. The record is from RNAcentral.